This 253-nucleotide ribosomal RNA is filed under the name uncultured bacterium. RNAcentral's name for it is "partial 16S ribosomal RNA". It matches the Rfam family "Bacterial small subunit ribosomal RNA", at positions 524 to 776 of the family's 1533-position model. The record is from RNAcentral.
UACGUAGGGUGCGAGCGUUGUCCGGAAUUAUUGGGCGUAAAGAGCUCGUAGGCGGUCUGUCGCGUCGAAUGUGAAAACCCGGGGCUCAACUCCGGGCUUACAUUCGAUACGGGCAGACUAGAGUUCGGUAGGGGAGUCUGGAAUUCCUGGUGUAGCGGUGAAAUGCGCAGAUAUCAGGAGGAACACCGGUGGCGAAGGCGGGUCUCUGGGCCGAUACUGACGCUGAGGAGCGAAAGCAUGGGUAGCGAACAGG